RNAcentral lists this ribosomal RNA (1041 nucleotides) under Triticum aestivum (bread wheat). Its description in RNAcentral is "partial small subunit ribosomal RNA". Lineage: Eukaryota; Viridiplantae; Streptophyta; Magnoliopsida; Poales; Poaceae. The record is from RNAcentral.
AUGGGGGGCGGGGACGCGGCGGCGGAGCAGGAGGCGAAGCGCGCGGCGGCGGCGGCCUACGACUACGAGGCCGACCCGCGCUGGGCCGACUACUGGUCCAACGUCCUCGUGCCGCCGCACCUCGCCGCCCGCCCCGACGUCAUCGCCCACUUCCGCCGCAAGUUCUACCAGCGCUUCAUCGAUCGUGAUUUGGUGGUCGAGCCUAUGUCAACCACUGGUUCCACUCAGCCGAGCAGGCCAGACAUAAGGUCUUCACCUUCAGCAUCCAGUGAGAGUGUCAGGGCUCGCAAUUCAGGUUCUAGUUCCAGAUCAGCUGCCCCGCCACCAGCAGCACCACAAGCAGGGGCUGCAAACCCUUUACGUUUCGAUGCAAAGACUAUACAUUUCUCCGUAAAUGCCUGGGUACUGGUUGUUGCUGGUCUGGGAAUGCUUCCGAUCUUGCCAAAACAUCUUGCAGACAGAGCUUGCAAGCUUUCGUUGCUGGGAACAGUCCUCUCCUCAGGAUAUUCGUUAUACAGUACCUAUGGGAAACCAAGAGAAUUGAACAUGGCUGCAAUUCAGGGUUGGUUGCAGUCAGUACUUGGAGCCAAGGACUUUAUCCAUUUAAUGUUCUCUUUGUUGCUCGUCACAUCUCAGCUGCACUUAAAGAUUGCUGCGCUACCUGUCUUCUGCUGGGCGCUUGAUCAUGUUGCCAGAUUCCUAAGGCGUAACUUUUCCCGCUCAUCUUUCUACAGGGGAUACUUGGAAGAGCCUUGCCUUUGGGUGGAGACAAACAACACCACGCUCAGCCUCCUUAGCUCGAAUGCUGAACUUGCCUUGGGGUUCCUUCUGAUCAUAUCACUGUUCUCGUGGAGGCGCAAUUUCAUCCAGACAUUCAUGUACUGGAACGUGCUGAAGAUGAUGUACCGCGCGCCCGUGACAUCCAGCUACCACCAGAGCGCGUGGGCCAAGAUCGGGCGGACCGUCAACCCGUACAUCGACCGCUACGCACCGUUCCUCCAGACACCCAUCUCCAUGGUCCAGCGGUGGUGGCUCAGGUAG